UACGGAGGGUGCAAGCGUUACUCGGAAUUACUGGGCGUAAAGCGCACGCAGGCGGCUUGUUAAGUCGGAUGUGAAAGCCCCGGGCUCAACCUGGGAACUGCAUUCGAUACUGGCAAGCUAGAGUAUGUGAGAGGGGGGUAGAAUUCCGAGUGUAGCGGUGAAAUGCGUAGAGAUUUGGAGGAAUACCAGUGGCGAAGGCGGCCCCCUGGCACACUACUGACGCUGAGGUGCGAAAGCGUGGGGAGCAAACAGG
Molecule: ribosomal RNA, 253 nt
Filed under: uncultured bacterium
Lineage: Bacteria
Description: partial 16S ribosomal RNA
Rfam family: Bacterial small subunit ribosomal RNA
Source: RNAcentral